Molecule: ribosomal RNA, 529 nt
Filed under: Streptococcus sp. oral clone BP2-33
Lineage: Bacteria; Bacillati; Bacillota; Bacilli; Lactobacillales; Streptococcaceae
Description: bacterial SSU rRNA
Rfam family: Bacterial small subunit ribosomal RNA
Source: RNAcentral
AGAGUUUGAUCCUGGCUCAGGACGAACGCUGGCGGCGUGCCUAAUACAUGCAAGUAGAACGCUGAAGGAGGAGCUUGCUUCUCUGGAUGAGUUGCGAACGGGUGAGUAACGCGUAGGUAACCUGCCUGGUAGCGGGGGAUAACUAUUGGAAACGAUAGCUAAUACCGCAUAAGAGUAGAUGUUGCAUGACAUUUGCUUAAAAGGUGCAAUUGCAUCACUACCAGAUGGACCUGCGUUGUAUUAGCUAGUUGGUGAGGUAACGGCUCACCAAGGCGACGAUACAUAGCCGACCUGAGAGGGUGAUCGGCCACACUGGGACUGAGACACGGCCCAGACUCCUACGGGAGGCAGCAGUAGGGAAUCUUCGGCAAUGGACGGAAGUCUGACCGAGCAACGCCGCGUGAGUGAAGAAGGUUUUCGGAUCGUAAAGCUCUGUUGUAAGAGAAGAACGAGUGUGAGAGUGGAAAGUUCACACUGUGACGGUAUCUUACCAGAAAGGGACGGCUAACUACGUGCCAGCAGCCGCGGU